UUUUAUCUAGUUUAAAGAAAACGUUGGUUUGUCAGACCAUUAAUGAGGUGGUUCCUCGGUUAAGU
This 65-nucleotide transfer RNA is filed under the name Peronia peronii. Its description in RNAcentral is "tRNA-Asp". Lineage: Eukaryota; Metazoa; Mollusca; Gastropoda; Systellommatophora; Onchidiidae. The record is from RNAcentral.